This 531-nucleotide ribosomal RNA is filed under the name bacterium btn 9f-3. RNAcentral's name for it is "bacterial SSU rRNA". It matches the Rfam family "Bacterial small subunit ribosomal RNA", at positions 335 to 859 of the family's 1533-position model. The record is from RNAcentral.
ACUCCUACGGGAGGCAGCAGUGGGGAAUUUUGGACAAUGGGGGGAACCCUGAUCCAGCCAUCCCGCGUGUGCGAUGAAGGCCUUCGGGUUGUAAAGCACUUUUGUCAGGAAAGAAAUCGCCCGGGAUAAUACCUCGGGUGGAUGACGGUACCUGAAGAAUAAGCACCGGCUAACUACGUGCCAGCAGCCGCGGUAAUACGUAGGGUGCAAGCGUUAAUCGGAAUUACUGGGCGUAAAGCGUGCGCAGGCGGUUCGGAAAGAAAGAUGUGAAAUCCCAGGGCUUAACCUUGGAACUGCAUUUUUAACUACCGGGCUAGAGUGUGUCAGAGGGGGGUGGAAUUCCGCGUGUAGCAGUGAAAUGCGUAGAUAUGCGGAGGAACACCGAUGGCGAAGGCAGCCCCCUGGGAUAACACUGACGCUCAUGCACGAAAGCGUGGGGAGCAAACAGGAUUAGAUACCCUGGUAGUCCACGCCCUAAACGAUGUCAACUAGCUGUUGGGGCCUUCGGGCCUUAGUAGCGCAGCUAACGCG